RNAcentral lists this ribosomal RNA (453 nucleotides) under uncultured bacterium. RNAcentral describes it as "bacterial SSU rRNA". It matches the Rfam family "Bacterial small subunit ribosomal RNA", at positions 340 to 786 of the family's 1533-position model. The record is from RNAcentral.
UACGGAAGGCAGCAGUGGGGAAUAUUGCACAAUGGGCGCAAGCCUGAUGCAGCCAUGCCGCGUGUAUGAAGAAGGCCUUCGGGUUGUAAAGUACUUUCAGUCGUGAGGAAGGUGUUAAGGUUAAUAACCUUAGCAAUUGACGUUAGCGACAGAAGAAGCACCGGCUAACUCCGUGCCAGCAGCCGCGGUAAUACGGAGGGUGCGAGCGUUAAUCGGAAUUACUGGGCGUAAAGGGCACGCAGGCGGUUAAUUAAGUUGGAUGUGAAAUCCCCGGGCUUAACCUGGGAAUGGCAUUCAAGACUGGUUAGCUAGAGUCUUGUAGAGGGGGUUAGAAUUCCAUGUGUAGCGGUGAAAUGCGUAGAGAUGUGGAGGAAUACCGGUGGCGAAGGCGGCCCCUGGGACAAAGACUGACGCUCAUGUGCGAAAGCUGGGGAGCAAACAGGAUUAGAUACC